Molecule: ribosomal RNA, 440 nt
Filed under: uncultured bacterium
Lineage: Bacteria
Description: partial 16S ribosomal RNA
Rfam family: Bacterial small subunit ribosomal RNA
Source: RNAcentral
CCUACGGGGUGCAGCAGUGGGGGAUAUUGCACAAUGGGGGGAACCCUGAUGCAGCGACGCCGCGUGGGUGAAGAAGCGCCUCGGCGCGUAAAGCCCUGUCAGCAGGGAAGAAAAUGACGGUACCUGACGAAGAAGCCCCGGCUAACGACGUGCCAGCAGCCGCGGUAAUACGUAGGGGGCAAGCGUUAUCCGGAUUUACUGGGUGGAAAGGGGGCGCAGACGGCGAUGCAAGCAAGGAGUGAAAGCACGGGGCGCAACCCCGGGACUGCGCGUGGAACUGCGUGGCGGGAGUGCAGGAGGGGCAGGCGGAAUUCCUGGUGUAGCGGUGAAAUGCGGAGAUAGCAGGAGGAACACCGGUGGCGAAGGCGGCCUGCUGGACUGCAACUGACGUUGAGGCCCGAAAGCGUGGGGAGCAAACAGGAUUAGAUACCCCGGUAGUC